AACUAACGCUGGCGGCAUGCCUAACACAUGCAAGUCGAACGGAAUCUUAUAUGUUCCUCGUUUUGGAUUUAGUUCCAAGUUGAGGAACAAUAAGAUUUAGUGGCGGACGGGUGAGUAACACGUUGGUACCUACCCUCUAGUGGGGAAUAACUUCGAGAAAUCGAGGCUAAUACCGCAUAAUAUCUACGGAUUAAAGCAUUUAUGCGCUAGAGGAGGGGCCUGCGUCUGAUUAGCUAGUUGGUGAGGUAAAAGCUCACCAAGGCAACGAUCAGUAGCUGGAUCGAGAGGUUGACCAGCCACACUGGGACUGAGAUACGGCCCAGACUCCUACGGGAGGCAGCAGUGAGGAAUCUUCCACAAUGGACGAAAGUCUGAUGGAGCAAUGCCGCGUGCAGGAUGACGGCCUUCGGGUUGUAAACUGCUUUUAUAUGGGAAGAUUAUGACGGUACCAUAUGAAUAAGGACCGGCUAACUACGUG
RNAcentral lists this ribosomal RNA (478 nucleotides) under uncultured bacterium. RNAcentral describes it as "bacterial SSU rRNA". It matches the Rfam family "Bacterial small subunit ribosomal RNA", at positions 29 to 507 of the family's 1533-position model. The record is from RNAcentral.